This is a long non-coding RNA of Oncorhynchus mykiss (rainbow trout), 6296 nucleotides long. Lineage: Eukaryota; Metazoa; Chordata; Actinopteri; Salmoniformes; Salmonidae. The record is from Ensembl.
AUGCAGCAAAUGAUGGACAGAAUUGGUCACUUUAAUCUCUCAGGGUUCAAAUACAAACAUACCCUCCUGCACUCUCUCUCUCUCCAUCCGUUUCAUGUUCCCACCCUCCUGCACUCUCUCUCUCCAUCCCUUUCAUGUUCCCACCCUCCUGCACUCUCUCUCUCCAUCCGUUUCAUGUUCCUACCCUCCUGCACUCUCUCUCUCCAUCCCUUUCAUGUUCCCACCCUCCUGCACUCUCUCUCUCCAUCCCUUUCAUGUUCCCACCCUCCUGCACUCUCUCUCUCUCCAUCCGUUUCAUGUUCCCACCCUCCUGCACUCUCUCUCUCCAUCCCUUUCAUGUUCCCACCCUCCUGCACUCUCUCUCUCCAUCCGUUUCAUGUUCCCACCCUCCUGCACUCUCUCUCUCUCCAUCCGUUUCAUGUUCCCACCCUCCUGCACUCUCUCUCUCUCCAUCCGUUUCAUGUUCCCACCCUCCUGCAGUCUCUCUCCAUCCCUUUCAUGUUCCCACCCUCCUGCACUCUCUCUCUCCAUCCGUUUCGUGUUCCUCUCUCCAUCCGUUUCGUGUUCCACCCUCCUGCGCUCUCUCUCUCCAUCCGUUUCGUGUUCCACCCUCCUGCGCUCUCUCUCUCCAUCCGUUUCGUGUUCCACCCUCCUGCGCUCUCUCUCUCCAUCCGUUUCGUGUUCCACCCUCCUGCGCUCUCUCUCCAUCCAUUUCAUGUUCCACCCUCCUGCGCUCUCUCUCUCCAUCCAUUUCAUGUUCCCACCCUCCUGCACUCUCUCCAUCCGUUUUGUGUUCCACCCUCCUGCGCUCUCUCUCUCCAUCCAUUUCAUGUUCCCACCCUCCUGCACUCUCUCCAUCCGUUUCGUGUUCCACCCUCCUGCACUCUCUCUCCAUCCAUUUCAUGUUCCCACCCUCCUGCACUCUCUCCAUCCGUUUUGUGUUCCACCCUCCUGCGCUCUCUCUCUCCAUCCAUUUCAUGUUCCCACCCUCCUGCACUCUCUCCAUCCGUUUCGUGUUCCACCCUCCUGCACUCUCUCUCCAUCCAUUUCAUGUUCCCACCCUCCUGCACUCUCUCCAUCCGUUUUGUGUUCCACCCUCCUGCGCUCUCUCUCUCCAUCCAUUUCAUGUUCCCACCCUCCUGCACUCUCUCCAUCCGUUUCGUGUUCCACCCUCCUGCGCUCUCUCUCUCCAUCCGUUUCGUGUUCCCACCCUCCUACACUCUCUCCAUCCGUUUCGUGUUCCACCCUCCUGCGCUCUCUCUCUCCAUCCGUUUCAUGUUCCCACCCUCCUACACUCUCUCCAUCCGUUUCGUGUUCCACCCUCCUGCACUCUCUCCAUCCGUUUUGUGUUCCACCCUCCUGCACUCUCUCCAUCCGUUUCGUGUUCCACCCUCCUGUGCUCUCUCUCUCCAUCCGUUUCGUGUUCCCACCCUCCUACACUCUCUCCAUCCGUUUCGUGUUCCACCCUCCUGCGCUCUCUCUCUCCAUCCGUUUCAUGUUCCCACCCUCCUACACUCUCUCCAUCCGUUUCGUGUUCCACCCUCCUGCACUCUCUCCAUCCGUUUUGUUUUCCACCCUCCUGCACUCUCUCCAUCCGUUUCGUGUUCCACCCUCCUGCACUCUCUCCAUCCGUUUCGUGUUCCACCCUCCUGCACUCUCUCCAUCCGUUUCGUGUUCCACCCUCCUGCACUCUCUCCAUCCGUUUCGUGUUCCACCCUCCUGCGCUCUCUCUCUCCAUCCGUUUCGUGUUCCACCCUCCUGCGCUCUCUCUCUCCAUCCGUUUCGUGUUCCACCCUCCUACACUCUCUCCAUCCGUUUCGUGUUCCACCCUCCUGCGCUCUUCCCUCUCCCUUUGUGCACUGUGAGUUGUGUAUUUGGUUUUACUGUCUCUUCUGUUCUUUGGCACUGACAUCUAACCUUCAUCUAAUAAUGAAUGAAUGAAUGUUUUAAAUGAGCUGUGUGUAAUGGUGAAAUUUGGGAAAUGUAUUUUUACAACAUGUGAACAUGAUUCCUUUUUGGGGGGGUCUUUCACUCACUCUUGUCGUGAAUUCAUUGAUUUUCUUUCACCAGACUGCAAAAUCAAUGUAAUUAAACAUAGAAGAACAGUCUCCUGUAACUAGGCUCUUAUGCUUUAUUUUUCUUUUGUUUACUUUUUUUAUUAGAAACAAUCAUGUUUGUUUCCGAUGGUAAACUCCACACCGUAUUUUAAUAAAAUCCCUUUUGUUUCUCACGCUGCUUUCUUCUGUUGAAGGUAAUGGUAUUUCUGUCUUAAUCUGUCUCUGUGUGUGUGUGUGUGUGUCCUCAAACUCAGAGAACAAGGAGAAUCUAUCAUAUUGCCUGUAUGGAUAUUACCCUCAGCCUUGAGAUUUCCAAGAUUCAUUCAGUGUGUGUAUACUUGUGAGAGUGCAUAGUGCAAGCUUUGCAGUAUAGCAGUGAUAACCCAGGUGUGCUGCCUUCCUCCAGCCCUGGGGAUAGGAGCAACCACUGCCCCCCCACCCCCCCUAACUAACUGACUGUUUACAACCUUUUGGCUGUCUUUAUAUGGGCACUGGGGUGAUGCAGUGCCAAGCGCUCCAGAGCUCAUGGCAGCUUUACGAGUAGGCAGACCAGGUGGGGGGCAGGCAGCGGAGAGGGGUACAGUCAUAGCAUCAUGUGGCUGGGAAUGCCAACUCCAAAAUUGUUACCACAUGUACCAUCCGUAACCCCUGAUGAGAGAGCGGUCUCACCCUCAUGGUCCCAUCGCUGGAGGGAGGCCCCCUUGGUUGUACUCCGUCUACUAGGAUAUUCCCCUAGGCUGAGCUACGGCACCCUUCGGCGAAGGCGAUCUUGGGUACACACGUUCAUGGAAGCUACCUCGGAUGCAAUGCCACCUUUUGAUUCAUGUGAAACGCUUUAUGACGAGCCCUUUUAAUAUGUACUCCAUAUGCCUCAGACCAACCCUCCAUCUCUCUACCAGAUAUACAACACUAUAGGCUUGUAACUAGCUACGGGAGGUGGACAGGAGGUGAGUUUGUUUUCCUCUUGACUUGUUCAUUUUCCUUCCUCACAAGGAACUGCAUUUUCCAUAGGACAGUAUUUCCAUAGGACAGUAAUUCCAUAGGACAGUAAUUCCAUAGGACAGUAUUUCCAUAGGACAGUAUUUCCAUAGGACAGUAUUUCCAUAGGAUAGUAAUUCCAUGGGACAGUAUUUCAAUAGGACAGUAUUUCAAUAGGACAGUAUUUCCAUAGGACAGUAUUUCCAUAGGACAGUAUUUCCAUAGGACAGUAUUUCCAUAGGAUAGUAAUUCCAUGGGACAGUAUUUCAAUAGGACAGUAUUUCAAUAGGACAGUAUUUCAAUAGGACAGUAAUUCCAUAGGACAGUAUUUCCAUAGGACAGUAUUUCCAUAGGACAGUAUUUCAAUAGGACAGUAAUUCCAUAGGACAGUAUUUCCAUAGGACAGUAUUUCAAUAGGACAGUAUUUCAAUAGGACAGUAAUUCCAUAGGACAGUAUUUCCAUAGGACAGUAUUUCAAUAGGACAGUAUUUCAAUAGGACAGUAUUUCCAUAGGACAGUAUUUCAAUAGGACAGUAUUUCAAUAGGACAGUAUUUCAAUAGGACAGUAAUUCCAUAGGACAGUAUUUCCAUAGGACAGUAUUUCCAUAGGACAGUAUUUCAAUAGGACAGUAUUUCCAUAGGACAGUACACAGCAACUGUAAUCCCUUCCUGGUAGCUGUUCUACAUGACAUCAUAUGGAGUGAAAUAUACAGCUUAUUGCAGAUUCCAGAAGGUAUGCUACCUUUCUCAACAGUUAGCUCGUUUUAAGGGCCUUUGGUGUUCACUUGUCAUCAAAGUCCAUUUCAUGUGAGUGUUACAGUCAUCGAGCUCUCUUCCUGUGUAGUCACUGUUGGGGUGCCAGCGACCCUGCUUUCGUGAGAAGCAUUCGUCGGGAAAGAACAGGUUGCAUAAUGAUCUCUCUUCUGACGUAGGCCCGGGGAGAAAACAGCUUUUUAACAGGCAGAUUCACUGGCCCCUGUGCCCCCCGUCUCCCACUCCGAGCUAGUUUGUUUUGCAACAGGCUGGGCUGCCUUCAUCCGUCCUCUAGCCCCAGCCCUGGUGCUGCACUCCCCUGCCAGACGCCACAAUGGCCCUGGACCAGGAUAUUUAUCUGGCGCUUGUCUGUGUUAGGGGGUGGGGGGAUACUGAUCCCCAGAGAUGUCAAUACAACCUUGGAAUACAUCAGUGGACCUGUAAAAAAAAAACUAUUUGACUUUAGGGAAGUUGAUUAGUCACUGUCAUGGUGGGUCGGGGUCAUAUGAUGGGAAAUGGGGUAUUUGCUUUGGGGUGGUCGUUGAAGACCAGACUACAUCCUGCUGGCUAGAAUCCUCUUGUUUACCAACUAGCUUUACUUGUAAAAAGCUUUAGGUAGGUCAGAGUAGGGCCAGGAGCUCAAGAGAGAAGCUCCAGGGCCCAUGGAUGAGGUACUGUGGAAAGUUGUAUUGUUUAAGUGAGAUUGAAAGUGUUUCUUGUUGACAAGACAGAAGACAUAAUAUUUGUGUGCAUGAUAAAUUAACCUCUGUAUAGACUCCUCAGGCCCUCACGUUCAAUCUAGGGAUUGUAUUAGCAACCCAAAGAUGAGACCGCUAAUAUUUGCCCGUCCCCAUAUAAAUAUGAAUCUUUACAAUGGAUGGCUUGGAGAUGACUGACUUCUGUGUUUAUUUCCGAUAAUAACUACAACUUUGUAUCCAGCCUACUUUCUCCAUCCCCGUUAUCCUUUAUAAGCGUGUCUCAAUAAUGGAGUUCUGGCUUCUGCCAUUUGGCAAGUGUUAGUGAGUGUUUGACAGGGGGACUUUGUGUGUGUGCGUGUGCGCGGUUUGAUAUCAGUUGUUUUAGUGUGUGUGAUGUGCGCCAAGUGGUAAGCUGCUCUGUGCUCAUCCUGCUGUGACUCAAAUCCAGAACAGGCCAGUGUGAUCAGUGCCAACGUGUAUGUUGCAGUUUUAUGUGUGUGUGUGUGUGUGAUAUUCACCUUUAGGCCAGUGUGAGUCAGCUAGUGUGGACGCCCGGCUCUGUCAUUAAUCAGCGGGCAGAGCAAGUCUGGGUUUUCCGUAACCUACUUUCAGUAAGAGAGGAGAAGGGCAGAGGUGAGAUGGGGGGAAAGAGGGCUUCCAGUUGGGUUCUAUAAAUGUUUCACUGAGAGGUCAUCGUGGCCCGUUAACCCAGGCGGCUUCUUAUCAUUACAGCACAGCUUAGGAGAUGGAACGUCCUUAGCUUUGGGAUAAAUCCAGUCUUAGCCCACAUCUGAGGAUGGAGGAGGGAAAAGGAUAGCUGAGAGGAGGAUAGCCCAAGGCUUAAAUAUUUACAAAUGACAUGUUUUGGAAUGACCAGAGGCGCCUUUGUGUGUGUGUGUGUGUGUGUGCGUAUGUUAAAUAGUUUGACACACACGCACACGCACACACACACACACGCACAGGCUCAUUCACACUGAGCUUCAUACUGAGUCCCAACACAUGGAUCAAUAGCCAGCUCAGUAGUGGAGCAGUAAUACGUUGUCCAUGUGUUCGCCAGCUGUGGGGGAAUAGUUAUGUGAGGACACAGACAGACAUGCUUUAACCCUCUCUCCUUCACUUCACUGACCAGAGGAAGUUUGUCCAGUGGAGUCAUCAGCUGAGUUGACCACUAAGACCCUACUCUAUUUAUUGUUACAUGGACUUGUCUCUUCCAGAGCCAGACUGCUGAUCUGGCGUCAUUAAACAAGCAGACGGGUUGGGAUUUCUCCGCUCCAACUGUAACAAUUAAAACAUUUUAAAUGGUCCAUGGAAAACAUAAAUACUGUACAAUAGGAAUGCACUGACUGCCAAGUGAGAUCUAUUGUGUGUUACAUGGUGUUCAUUACCUCGUCAGCAAUAUGAGGUUAGGGGCUACUGAGUUUACACAGCAACACAGAGCCAGUGGGAGAAGGUGUGUGUGUGUGUGUGUGUGUGUGUGUGUGUGUGUGUGUGUGUGUGUGUGUGUGUACACACAGAGAGUGGGAGAGAAUGGGAGAGAGGGAGGAAGAGAUAGCUACUGUAGAGGGGGCUAUGCAGUGCCUUUCCAUACAAGGAGAGGUAGGGGGCGAGAGCCAAAGAGAGGGGGGAGGAGAGAAGGGGAAUACAAGGGGAUACAAUGAAGGAGGAGGGUUGUAGAAAGGUAUAUCUGGAGAGAGAGACUGAUAAGGCUCCCUGAUCCUGCAACCACACGGAGUAGAGAGAGAAUAAGAGAGAGUGGUUGGAGCUGUCCUGCUGAUAUAUCCUCUGUCACUGACCGACUCGUACUGACCAG